This 253-nucleotide ribosomal RNA is filed under the name uncultured bacterium. RNAcentral's name for it is "partial 16S ribosomal RNA". It matches the Rfam family "Bacterial small subunit ribosomal RNA", at positions 524 to 776 of the family's 1533-position model. The record is from RNAcentral.
UACGAAGGGGGCUAGCGUUGUUCGGAGUUACUGGGCGUAAAGGGCGCGUAGGCGGCUGGCUAAGUCGGGUGUGAAAGCCCGGGGCUCAACCCCGGAGGUGCACUCGGGACUGGCCGGCUUGAGGACGGGAGAGGAUGGUGGAAUUCCCAGUGUAGAGGUGAAAUUCGUAGAUAUUGGGAAGAACACCGGUGGCGAAGGCGGCCAUCUGGACCGUUUCUGACGCUGAGGCGCGAAAGCGUGGGGAGCAAACAGG